UCCUACGGGAGGCAGCAGUGAGGAAUAUUGGUCAAUGGGCGAGAGCCUGAACCAGCCAAGUCGCGUGAAGGAAGAAGGAUCUAUGGUUCGUAAACUUCUUUUGCAGGGGAAUAAAGUGCAGGACGUGUCCUGUUUUGUAUGUACCCUGAGAAUAAGGAUCGGCUAACUCCGUGCCAGCAGCCGCGGUAAUACGGAGGAUCCGAGCGUUAUCCGGGUUUAUUGGGUUUAAAGGGUGCGUAGGUGGUUUGAUAAGUCAGCGGUGAAAGUUUGCAGCUUAACUGUAAAAAUGCCGUUGAAACUGUCGGACUUGAGUGUAAAUGAGGUAGGCGGAAUGCGUGGUGUAGCGGUGAAAUGCAUAGAUAUCACGCAGAACUCCGAUUGCGAAGGCAGCUUACUAAGCUACAACUGACACUGAAGCACGAAAGCGUGGGGAUCAAACAGGAUUAGAUACCCUGGUAGUCCACGCAGUAAACGAUGAUUACUAGCAGUUUGCGAUACACAGUAAGCGGCACAGCGAAAGCGUUAAGUAAUCCACCUGGGGAGUACGCCGGCAACGGUGAAACUCAAAGGAAUUGACGGA
This 580-nucleotide ribosomal RNA is filed under the name uncultured Bacteroidota bacterium. RNAcentral's name for it is "bacterial SSU rRNA". It matches the Rfam family "Bacterial small subunit ribosomal RNA", at positions 337 to 917 of the family's 1533-position model. Lineage: Bacteria; Pseudomonadati; Bacteroidota. The record is from RNAcentral.